AUUGAACGCUGGCGGCAGGCCUAACACAUGCAAGUCGAGCGGAUGAAGGGAGCUUGCUCCUGGAUUCAGCGGCGGACGGGUGAGUAAUGCCUAUGAAUCUGCCUGGUAGUGGGGGAUAACGUCCGGAAACGGGCGCUAAUACCGCAUACGUCCUGAGGGAGCAAGUGGGGGAUCUUCGGACCUCACGCUAUCAGAUGAGCCUAGGUCGGAUUAGCUAGUUGGUGGGGUAAAGGCCUACCAAGGCGACGAUCCGUAACUGGUCUGAGAGGAUGAUCAGUCACACUGGAACUGAGACACGGUCCAGACUACUAAGGGAGGCAGCAGUGGUGAAUAUUGGACAAUGGGCGAAAGCCUGAUACAGCCAUGCCGCGUGUGUGAAGAAGGUCUUCGGAUUGUAAAGCACUUUAAGUUGGGAGGAAGGGCAGUAAGUUAAUACCUUGCUGUUUUGACGUUACCAACAGAAUAAGCACCGGCUAACUUCGUG
This 484-nucleotide ribosomal RNA is filed under the name uncultured bacterium. RNAcentral describes it as "partial 16S ribosomal RNA". It matches the Rfam family "Bacterial small subunit ribosomal RNA", at positions 30 to 507 of the family's 1533-position model. The record is from RNAcentral.